This 228-nucleotide ribosomal RNA is filed under the name uncultured bacterium. RNAcentral describes it as "partial 16S ribosomal RNA". It matches the Rfam family "Bacterial small subunit ribosomal RNA", at positions 568 to 795 of the family's 1533-position model. The record is from RNAcentral.
UGCGCAGGCGGAAUGAUUAGUCAGUGGUGAAAGCCCUCGGCUCAACCGAGGAACUGCCAUUGAUACUGUCAUUCUUGAGUACAGUUGUAGUGGGCGGAAUGUGUCAUGUAGCGGUGAAAUGCAUAGAGAUGACACAGAACACCGAUCGCGAAGGCAGCUCACUAAGCUGAAACUGACGCUCAGGCACGAAAGCGUGGGUAGCAAACAGGAUUAGAUACCCUGGUAGCC